GUGUCAGCAGCCGCGGUAACACGUAGGUGUCGAGCGUUAUCCGGAAUUACUGGGCGUAAAGCGCACGCAGGCGGCUCUACAAGUCUCGUGUGAAAGCUCUCGGCUCAACCGGGAGAGGACGCGGGAAACUGUAGGGCUUGAGGCAGGGAGAGGGGCGUGGAAUUCCCGGUGUAGCGGUGGAAUGCGUAGAUAUCGGGAGGAACACCAGUGGCGAAGGCGGCGCCCGGGCCCUGGCCUGACGCUCAGGUGCGAAAGCGUGGGGAGCGAACGGGAUUAGAUACCCCGGUAGUCCACGCCGUAAACGAUGCGAACUAGGUGUGGGCAGUAUUGACCCUGUCCGUGCCGAAGCCAACGCGCUAAGUUCGCCGCCUGGGGAGUACGGCCGCAAGGCUAAAACUUAAAUGAAUUGACGGGG
Molecule: ribosomal RNA, 415 nt
Filed under: uncultured prokaryote
Description: bacterial SSU rRNA
Rfam family: Bacterial small subunit ribosomal RNA
Source: RNAcentral